RNAcentral lists this ribosomal RNA (620 nucleotides) under uncultured bacterium. Its description in RNAcentral is "bacterial SSU rRNA". The stretch from base 1 to 538 matches the Rfam family "Bacterial small subunit ribosomal RNA", at positions 338 to 873 of the family's 1533-position model. The record is from RNAcentral.
CCUACGGGAGGCAGCAGUGGGGAAUAUUGGACAAUGGGCGAAAGCCUGAUCCAGCAAUUCCGCGUGUGUGAAGAAGGCCUUCGGGUUGUAAAGCACUUUAGUGGGGGAAGAAACAGCUUGGCCACACCAAGCCUUGACGGUACCCCAAGAAUAAGCACCGGCUAACUCUGUGCCAGCAGCCGCGGUAAUACAGAGGGUGCAAGCGUUAAUCGGAUUUACUGGGCGUAAAGGGUGCGUAGGUGGCUAUUUAAGUCGGAUGUGAAAGCCCGGGGCUCAACCUCGGAAUUGCAUUCGAUACUGAGUGGCUAGAGUUCGGUAGAGGGCGGCGGAAUUUCCGGUGUAGCGGUGAAAUGCGUAGAUAUCGGAAGGAACAUCAAUGGCGAAGGCAGCCGCCUGGGCCUGGACUGACACUGAGGCACGAAAGCGUGGGUAGCAAACAGGAUUAGAUACCCUGGUAGUCCACGCCGUAAACGAUGAGAACUUGACGUUGGUUCGUUUUACGAAUCGGUGUCGCAGCUAACGCGAUAAGUUCUCCGCCUGGGGNGGUACGGCGCGAGUAGAACGUAACGAAGAAGUUAGACGCGUUGAGACGUUGCCGACGGCGACGACGAGGGAGGAGG